Molecule: ribosomal RNA, 1437 nt
Filed under: Corynebacterium vitaeruminis Ga6A13
Lineage: Bacteria; Bacillati; Actinomycetota; Actinomycetes; Mycobacteriales; Corynebacteriaceae
Description: bacterial LSU rRNA
Rfam family: Bacterial large subunit ribosomal RNA
Source: RNAcentral
UGGAUUGUGGUGUAAGCGUGCAGCCCGCAACGAGAGGUAAAUCCGCGUUGCAUAUAAAGGGUCAGGCGUGAUGCGUACCCAUUUUUUGGGGAUGUUGGUGAUCCUGUACUGUCAAGAAAAGCCUCUAGCGAUGUGUAUACAUGGCCCGUACCCAUAACCGACACAGGUAGUCAGGUAGAGAAUACUAAGGCGUUCGGGUGAACUGUGGUUAAGGAACUCGGCAAAAUGCCCCCGUAACUUCGGGAGAAGGGGGACCACUGCUGGUGACAGACUGGUUGAGCUGGUGGUGGUCGCAGAGAAUAGAGGGAAGCGACUGUUUAUUAAAAACACAGGUCCGUGCGAAAACGUGGAAGUUGAUGUAUACGGACUGACGCCUGCCCGGUGCUGGAAGGUUAAGAGGACCUGUUAGCCCACCUUGUGUGGGCGAAGCGGAGAAUUUAAGCCCCAGUAAACGGCGGUGGUAACUAUAACCAUCCUAAGGUAGCGAAAUUCCUUGUCGGGUAAGUUCCGACCUGCACGAAUGGCGUAACGACUUCCCUGCUGUCUCAACCACAGGCCCGGUGAAAUUGCAGUACGAGUAAAGAUGCUCGUUACGCGCGGCAGGACGAAAAGACCCCGGGACCUUCACUAUAGCUUGGUAUUGGUGUUUGGUUCGGUUUGUGUAGGAUAGGUGGGAGACUAUGAAACCUCAUCGCUAGGUGGGGUGGAGUCGCAAGUUGAAAUACCACUCUGAUCGGAUUGAGCACCUUAACCUUGGCCCAUGAUCUGGGUUGGGGACAGUGCCUGGUGGGUAGUUUAACUGGGGCGGUUGCCUCCCAAAAUGUAACGGAGGCGCCCAAAGGUUCCCUCAGCCUGGUUGGCAAUCAGGUGUUGAGUGUAAGUGCACAAGGGAGCUUGACUGUGAGAGUGACGGCUCAAGCAGGUACGAAAGUAGGGACUAGUGAUCCGGCACCUACGUGUGGAAGUGGUGUCGCUCAACGGAUAAAAGGUACCCCGGGGAUAACAGGCUGAUCUUCCCCAAGAGUCCAUAUCGACGGGAUGGUUUGGCACCUCGAUGUCGGCUCGUCGCAUCCUGGGGCUGGAGUAGGUCCCAAGGGUUGGGCUGUUCGCCCAUUAAAGCGGCACGCGAGCUGGGUUUAGAACGUCGUGAGACAGUUCGGUCUCUAUCCGCCGCGCGCGUUGAAACUUGAAGAAGGCUGUCCCUAGUACGAGAGGACCGGGACGGACGUACCUCUAGUGUGCCAGUUGUCACGCCAGUGGCAGGGCUGGUUAGCUACGUACGGAAGGGAUAACCGCUGAAAGCAUCUAAGCGGGAAGCCUGUUUUAAGAUGAGGUUUCACUUGAGGUACCCCACAGACUAUGGGGUUGAUAGGCCAGACCUGGAAGCACCGUAAGGUGUGAAGGCGACUGGUACUAAUUUACCGACAAACAACCAAC